AUUACAAUUUGAAAUGUCUGUUUAGGGUUGUGUGGCUAUUGAAGUUUCCUAGGAGAGAAUGGUUAAACUUUUCAAGAAGUCUGUCUUUUUCUUGUGACAUCUCGGAUCUCAGGACAAUUCUUCUGGAAUGCAGCACUCUGGGAAUGUUCCCGAGAUGGAUUGAAGAAUGACAAGAGGCCUGGAUUGCACAUCACAAGUGUCAGAAGGAUCUGACCAGCAUCCAGCCCUACCACGAUAGGUGCUGCUCGGUGGAAAAGCACGAGCCAUGGAUAACCUGUACACGUGCCUCACGAGAGAGAUAGCCUCCUUCCAGGACCAUGUCCAGCAAUGCAAACACUCCUUCAACAUGGACGCUCUUCACCCAGCCUUGAGUGCCCUAACCACAAAGCAGCAGGAUGAAAUCCACACCUUGGAGCAGUUGCGGGUUCUCCUCUCCAAGGUUCAAGAGGAGCCUGCGGUGGCAGUCAGUGGCUACAGCGACUCGGAAAUAAAGCGUUGCAUCACCUGGCUUCUCUCUUUCGUGGAAUAUCUCGGCGCCAUGAAAGAGACCUUUGAUGAGAAAGUGGUAGUCCCUCUCUGCGAGAACCUGUACGUAACUGAGGAAGAUGAGAGCACUGUCGCUUCUUCUGAUCAGACUGUACCUUUCACCUCUGACCCUCAAAGCCCGCCCCAUACAUCUGUGACUAAGGUGGCCAAUGAGCUCCUUGUUCUCCGACGCAGAUGGGCUUUGAUGCUCGCCCCUGGUCCAAUCAAGGCAGAGAACUUCAGACUACUGACCAAUACUGAUGGGGCUGAGCGGUUCACUAAGCGGUUCGCCAAGGUCCAAUGGCUUGUACCAGAUAUCCUCUAUAAGAGCUCUAGGGCUGCUCAACUUGCCUAUCAGUGGGUGAACCUGCACCAGUGUGGGCACAGGGGUAGAAGAGUAGGGGCCAGUGGGUUGGAGGUUACCGAGAUAGCCCCAAUGAGGUCUACUGGCCGGGAAGCGAGUGAUGAAUAUAUCCUGGUUGAGGUAGAAAGGAGAAGGGAGGGAAUGGCUGGAGAGGCCCAAGCCAGACUGAUGGAGUCUAGGAUGGAGCUCAUGGCUUUGGCCGGGAAAGAGCAUAGGGUGCUAUCUCUGGAGGUGAGGUUAGAGAAGGCCACCUACAGGAUCCAGGACCUCCAGGCCAAACUCCGACAUGAGAGGUUGAUGGUAGAAAGUAGGGCCCAGCAGGAGGCCAGCGAUGUGGGGGAAAGGAAGACAGAGGAGCUGGUCCUCAACCCAAGUCUAGAGCUGGAGAGGAGGCUGAGGAUGGAAAGGUACCAUCAGAAGAUACUUCUGGGAGACCUGCUGAUGCAGCUUAAGAUUCGCCCAGUUCUCAUACGCUACACUGAUAUGGUGAGGGAUCGAUGCAAACAGCAGGAGGAGACACUACGGGCCAAGGAGGGCAGUAUGGGUACCAGGUUCCCUUCAAAGCCUGAGAGCCUCAACCUCUCCAAACAGUGAAUCCAUCUUCUCUAGCCUGUUAUCACUCACAUAGACACCCUGCAAGAGACACUCAUCCUGGGGUACAAGUCUAGGCUGCCUCCUGCUCAUACUCCCAGGGUUGAGGGAGUCCUUCAUCCCUGGGCCUCCAGAUGGACAUUCAACCCAACAAAUGGAUUAUUGUCUGGGGGAUGCAUCCUAAUGAAUCCUGGACAAUGCUCCAGCCUCACAUUAGGCCCCUCAGAAGUGAUACCACCCAUAUUUGAUUUAGUUUCUUAGUUUAAGUCUUUCUUUUCAUUCCACCUAAUUUAGUCAACGAUGAACACACGCACGCACGCACGCACUCACACACACAC
Oncorhynchus tshawytscha (Chinook salmon) is the source of this 1818-nucleotide long non-coding RNA. Lineage: Eukaryota; Metazoa; Chordata; Actinopteri; Salmoniformes; Salmonidae. The record is from Ensembl.